This is a long non-coding RNA of Eurytemora carolleeae, 416 nucleotides long. RefSeq lists it as uncharacterized. Lineage: Eukaryota; Metazoa; Arthropoda; Copepoda; Calanoida; Temoridae. The transcript has 3 exons. The record is from RefSeq and is a predicted model, not a curated record.
CAGAAAUUCUGCAAUGACAGUCUGACAGUUUUCCAAUUGUGUCCCGAUGAUCUAGAUAUUUUAGAGGUGGUGACAACUAUUCAGAAUGUUCGAGCAGUCCGGAGAUUUGAACGGGUUAUAAACUUUGCCAAACUGGGAGGAAAAGGAAGACGACAUAGUAUUUGCUAAAAUAACAAUUUAAAGUAAAAUUCACGUUUUAUUGAAAUCUUUUAUAUUUUUAAUCUGCUCCUGUUGAGAAGGUCAGACAAAAGAAUGUUUGAAUUUGUAAUUACACCUGUUCGUAAAAUCAAUAAUAAAUAAGUUUUGAGGUCACAAAGGCAUACCAGUAAUGUCGCAAAAAUUUGAACCUCUUCUGAAAAAUUGGAUUUUAAUAUUUUAUUUCAUUUAUGAAUAAAGAUAUCCCCUUUAUACCUUUU